CCCUUCGGGGCGAAGAUAAGACGGAUUAGCGGCGGACGGGUGAGUAACACGUGAGUAACCUGCCUUUUACACAGGGAUAGCCUCGGGAAACCGGGAUUAAAACCUGAUGAAACUAUCAAAUCACAUGAUUAAGAAAGUUAAAACUCCGGUGGUAAAAGAUGGACUCGCGUCCCAUUAGCUAGUUGGUGAAGGUAACGGCCCACCAAGGCAACGAUGGGUAGCCGGCCUGAGAGGGUGAACGGCCACAUUGGAACUGAGAAACGGUCCAAACUCCUACGGGAGGCAGCAGUU
Molecule: ribosomal RNA, 291 nt
Filed under: uncultured Peptoniphilus sp.
Lineage: Bacteria; Bacillati; Bacillota; Tissierellia; Tissierellales; Peptoniphilaceae
Description: partial 16S ribosomal RNA
Rfam family: Bacterial small subunit ribosomal RNA
Source: RNAcentral